AUUGAACGCUGGCGGAAUGCUUUACACAUGCAAGUCGAACGGCAGCAUAGAGAGCUUGCUCUCUGAUGGCGAGUGGCGAACGGGUGAGUAAUAUAUCGGAACGUACCUAGUAAUGGGGAAUAACUAGCUGAAAGGUUAGCUAAUGCCGCAUACGACCUACGGGUGAAAGCAGGGGAUCUUCGGACCUUGCGUUAUUAGAGCGGCCGAUAUCUGAUUAGCUUGUUGGUGGGGUAAUGGCCUACCAAGGCGACGAUCAGUAGCUGGUCUGAGAGGACGAUCAGCCACACUGGAACUGAGACACGGUCCAGACUCCUACGGGAGGCAGCAGUGGGGAAUUUUGGACAAUGGGGGCAACCCUGAUCCAGCCAUUCCGCGUGAGUGAAGAAGGCCUUCGGGUUGUAAAGCUCUUUCGCAAGAGAAGAAAACUUGCUAUCUAAUAAAUAGUAAGUAUGACGGUAUCUUGACAAGAAGCACCGGCUAACUACGUGCCAGCAGCCGCGGUAAUACGUAGGGUGCAAGCGUUAAUCGGAAUUACUGGGCGUAGAGCGUGCGCAGGCAGUUUUAUAAGUCAGAUGUGAAAUCCCCGAGCUCAACUUGGGAACUGCGUUUGAUACUGUAAGACUAGAGUGUGUCAG
This 635-nucleotide ribosomal RNA is filed under the name uncultured beta proteobacterium. RNAcentral describes it as "bacterial SSU rRNA". It matches the Rfam family "Bacterial small subunit ribosomal RNA", at positions 28 to 654 of the family's 1533-position model. Lineage: Bacteria; Pseudomonadati; Pseudomonadota; Betaproteobacteria. The record is from RNAcentral.